Molecule: long non-coding RNA, 13106 nt
Filed under: Olea europaea subsp. europaea
Lineage: Eukaryota; Viridiplantae; Streptophyta; Magnoliopsida; Lamiales; Oleaceae
Source: RNAcentral
CUUGAACGAGCUCUCUAAGUUUAAUUUAAUUAAAAGCAUACAAUUGAAAGAGGUAAUAAUUGUAUCAAGCGCAAAUAUACAAGCUCAGUUUUCAAACUUGAGUGAAUCCAUUUACAAUCAAAUAAAAAUAUCCCUCAAGUCUCUUGAUGUGCAAUUGCUACUUAUAUUUGGAAAAAUUCAGCGAUUACAGACUAUGAUAUCUAUAUUAGCAUGAAAUGAAUCGACAUAAUCACUUAAUUGUACACCUAAAUAAUUCAAAAGGUCAAAACAACAAUUCACUGAAUGGAUUAAACACAUAAUCAAGAGGCAUUUACCCAAGGAUACGAACUAUCCAAAAUAAAAUUAAUGCAGAAAGCAAUGAAAAAGGAAAAGAAAAGAAGCUUAAGGGAGACGAUUGGUGCUAGUUCUCACAUCCAAUGGAGUUACCAUCGAGCUCUAAACUUUUCCUUCUCUUCUUCUGUUCCUAGUUAUGAAAAAUUCUUGUGACCUUGGUCCUGAAAGUUCCUGUUAUCUUGGUUCUGAUCUUAGAUUUUAUCCUGAAGUUCUGUAAAUUUCAGUCUUCGUGUGAUCCUAUGGGAUUUUCAGAAUUCGUUUGAUCCUUAAGUUCUGUAAAUUUUAGUCGUCUUCUAAUCUUGGAGUUCUGUAUAUUCCUGGAGUCCUAUAAAUUUCAGGAUGAAGCUACAGCAACAGAGGCGGUGACAUAAGACUUGACUGAAUACACACAUACACAAGAGAUCAGCAUUUUUUUUAUUCAAAUAGGCCCCGUGGCAAUGUGAAUGAAUGUCACCCCAUCGGUCAAACAUUUUUGCGUACUUCAACAAAAUUCUAAAUUUCAAGCUCCUCUUUCUAUAAAUCCCUUUCUUUUAAAAAGAGAUUUUUGAAUUCAUAACCGAAUUUCACAUUUUUGUUUUGGGAUUUACAUCCUUUUGAACAAAGGCCAAGAAAGUAUGUUGCUUUUUCAUUAGGUUCACAGACUCCACUUGUUUUAAAAUUAUUGCUGUCCAUCUUCUUUUUAUUCCUUUGCAAAGACUCCAAAUAUUUCCAAAUUGCUUCUUUUUAUUGCCUUGCACCAUAAUUCCCACAAAAUGUUAAAGAAAGCUAAUAAAGAAUUAUUAUAUAGGAAAAAAAGUUGAAUAAAAUAUUGAGGAAAACAAAAAUAAAAACAUUUCAAACUCAACACUUAUCAAUCCCUAAUUUAUAAGUCUAUUAUUAUAAUAAAAUUACACACUUGAAUUUUGACUCUAACUGUCUCCUCAUUUUUGUUUUUAUCUAUAAUUUUUGAACACCAAAUAUAUUACUAUAUAAAAUAUAUGUUUCAUUAUAUCUUUACUACAAUAUUAUUAAGCCACUGUUCAAUGAAUCAAAAUCAACAAUUAAUUUUAAUCACAUAUUUUAUGAGAUCCACAACUUUUCAAUCACACAUUUUACCAGUUUUUAUCAAAAUUUACUAAAAUUUUGAUUUUAAUUCACACCAAAAGCUAAAUAUAUAUUUAUAGUAUGUAUUGUAUUUACCUCAAAGCCCCAAAAUUGAAGGGUAAUUUUACAUUUAUGAAAUUCAAGACAAAAUUCGAGAGAGAGAAAAAAUCCCAAACGUCAUAUUAGUUGGUCAUUCCACCCCAUUGUCAUCUCCCAAGAUAAUGUUAAAUGCAAGCUCUUAAAAUAGCAGAUAUAUACAUUUAUACAAACAAGACUAAUUAAAGACAAUGAGAUAUGAGUAGUAAAUGAAUAGGAAAUAAUCAGACAGAAAUUUCAAACCAAUAAAAAUGUACUGCCAACAAGAACAUCUGCCUAGUACAAGUGUCACACUAGAAGCAGUCUUGUUACAAGAUGGAUGAAGUUCUAGAAAUGGCUCUUUUCCCCAUUCAAGAACUUGCACGAUCAGUAAAGAUGAUAGUUAUAAAAUAAAGCACAGGACAGAAAAAAAGACGUUCCAUUCCGUAACGAUUUACAUAAUAGUUUACGUACACGUGACUUAAUAAGAUAUGAUUAGAUCAUAAUUUCUUCAACCAAAAAAAAAAAAAAAAGAAAGCAAAUUUCUUCACUCUAUUUUUUAUACCUCGUCUAUAUAUAAAUUAUUAUAUAACUCCAUUAUAUACAAAUAACAUUAUUCAUGAAAAACAAUCUCAAAACACCUCGAUUCUAAAUCACAAUUCAGCAUGACUUCCAAAACAAAACAAAAUUAAAACUGAAACCAAAUCACAGUAGUUGGCUCUGACCAUGAUAUUUGGAAUGCAACUAUAAACAUACACUUCAAUAUGCAAUAUCACAUCAAGUCUAGAAGCUACUCAACCCUUGUUUGAGCCCCAUUUUGGAGAAAAAAAAUGAAUUUUUGAAUAGUGUAUUGAUAAGAAAUGUGCGGUUAAAAAAUAAGAAAAAAUUUUGAAUUUGCGUGUAAUAUUAUUUUUAUUGAAAAAUAUGUAAUUGAAAUGAUGUCAAAACACUCUUGAAAAAUUCAUUUUCUUCAAAGAAUGGGGCUCAAACAAGAAGAAAUUCAACAGGUCAUAUUUAAAUUGUGGUAUAGCACACUAUUUGACCCUUUUGGAAUUGCUUCGCUGUAACAAGUGCAGAUCCUACAUGCAAUUCACAUAUACACAUAAUAUUAAUGUUAUUAGGCAUGGUAGAUCACAUGUAUAGCUGCGACAAAUUAUGACAAAAACUUUCAAGGAAAAAGAAAAUUUACCACAAGGUUCUAUUUAUUUGGUCCAAAUUUGAUUAAGCUUUCAACACAAACAAGUAAGAGAAAAAAUCCCAAGAACAGAACAAACAGGAGAACAUAGAAUUCCUCUUCAUGAGGUGCCUGAAAAGACUUGCACAGACCUUUCAAAGAUGUUCAAUGGGCACGACCAGAUACGAAACUGGAAAACACAUGCAGACACCAACUCAGCACUGUAUAAGUAGUGAAAGUUGAAUCAAACAAUUCUUACCUGCUAGGCACAAUUUGCUUACCAAAAGAAAUUCGUUAAGAGUUGACUGCUCUACCAUUUCCCCAUCCCAAUGCAACUCGAAGAAAAUAAUCCUCACAGCCAAUAAAGUAUUUGCUUAAAGUACAGUAACCAAUUGAAAUUUAUGUGGAAGUUCAGUGACCACGAAUGAGAUUUAUACUUUCUCCAAUACUAUGCACGCACAGUAAUGCAAAGAAAACAGAUAUGGACACUGUUGGAAGAAAGAGGGGUUUACUAACUUGGACUGGUUAAGACUUCUAAAGAGGACAACACUAAUAGGAAGAAGGAAGUGAAUAAAAGGAAACUUGUAUUUCUCAAGGCUUGUUACAAAAUGGAGGACCCUACCAUUUUAUGUAGUGUUUACAUGGAACUUCUAGUUCAUACAAUUUUCUAGAGACUCCUAGACCACAUAUUUACAUGAGAUUUUAGACCACACAUUUGGACAAAAUAUUUUCCUAGAAUACUCUAAAUAGAUUUUAUAAGACCACAUAAUUUUCUUGACGCAUCACCACAUAUUUCACUUAAAUAUUUAUAUAGAUUUUUCUAGACAAUGUUUCUAGAAAUGCUAGGCAUAUUUGACUUUUUGAUUAAUUUGGGCCUAUGAGCAAAAUCCUUGAACUCAUAUUAUUUAGUCCACAAAUCAAGUUUACUACUCAACAUCCCCCCUUGAACUUAAUUUUGCUAUUCCAAGUAGAGUUCUUAACUUGUGGAACACGUCAUACUUGAGUGGCUUAGUGAGAAUGUCGACGAUCAGCUCCUAAGAGGUUACAUAUUUCAGCUAUACUUCUUUCUUUGCAAUGCUUUCUCUUAUGAAGUGAGAUCUUGUAUCAAUGUACUUGCUUUUAUCGUGGAACACUGGGUUCUUUGCCAAUGCCGAUUUAUUAUCAACAUGAAUUUCAUUCGAUUCUUCUUGUGAGACUCCAAGUGUCUUCAACAAAUUUUUAAGCCAAAUUGCAUGACAAACCCUUAAUGUAGUUGCUACAUAUUCAGCUUCAUAUGUAGAUAGCACUACAAUCGAUUACUUCUUCAAGCUUCAAGUGAAAGCUGUGUCGCCCAAGUAAAACACAUACCCAGUCGUAAUCUUUCUAUCAUCAUUGUCUCCACCCCAAUCAUUGUCACUAUAUCCAACAAAUUUGAAUUCAUCAUAUGAUUAAUAGAUUAAGCCAUAAUCAAACGUACCUUUGAUGUAACGAAGAAUCCUCUUUGCAGCUUUCAUAUGGGUCAUGGUAGGUGACUCCAUAUAGUGACUGAUGAGCCUAACUCCAAAAAGAAUAUCUGAUCUUGUGCACAUCAAGUAUCUUAGACUUUCAACCAUACUUUAAAAGUGUGGGUUUACUUUUUCACAUUCAUCAUUUUUCGAAAACUUGGUUCCAUAUUCAACCGGGAUGCAUACAGGCUUACAAUCCCUUAUAAUGAAUUUCUUUUGCAUACUUUGCUUGUAAGAUAAAGAUACGAUCCUCCAUUUGCUUUACCUCAAUCUCAAGAUAGUAAUCCAUGAGGCCGAUAUCCAUCAUCUCGAAUUCUUGAGCUUGGCCUUUUUAAACUCAUUGAUCAUACUUUGAUUAUUUCCUAUGACUAUAAGAUCAUCUACAUACAAACAAACAAACAAAAUAUCUCCUUUCUCAUUUACUUUUGUGUAAAGAGCAUACUCGUAAGGGUAUUCCAUGAAGUCAUUUUCUUGAAUGUACUUGUCAAUUCUACUAUUCCAUGCCCUUGGAGUUUGUUUCAAUCCAUAUAAAGCCAUUUUUAGUUUUAAGACUUUUCCUUCAUGUCUUUUUAUUUUAUGGUCAAUUGGUUGCUCCACAUAAAUUUCUUCUUCGAGAUAACCAUUUCGAAAAGCUCGUUUCACAUCCCUUUGAAAUAUUUUCCACUUAUUUUGCGCUGAAAGAGAGAAUUAAUUUUAUGGUUUCUAAACAAGCAAUAGGUGCAGGAGCAAAUACCUCUUCAUAAUCGAUUCCUGACCGUUGAUUGUAUCCUUUAGCAACCAAUCUUGAUUUAUAUCUCUCCACUUCUCCUUUAGCAUUUUUCUUUGCCUUGUACACUCACUUAACUCCAAUUGCUCUCUUUCCUUUGGGAAGAGUCAUCACCACCCACGUGUCAUUUUCUCAAUAGCCUUAACUUCUUCAUCCAUGGAAUCUCUCCAUCUUUUAUUUUACUCCGCUUCUUCAUACCCUAUUGGCUCACAAUCGACAAAAAGAUAAACGAAUAAGAUCAUUUUGAUUUUCUGUUACCUCAUAUAACUCUUGUAGACUCCUCAUUCGUGGUGUUCUUUUGCUUGAGCUUUCUCCUUUCGAAGAUGAUGAUGAAGCACCUCCAUGAGUAGGUGAUGGAGGUAGACUUAUAAGCUCUUAUUGCUCUCCAUUCUCUUGUUUUUUUUCCUCAAAAAAAGGCAAGAAGUCAUAGUCUUUUUCUUGGAUAUCCUAAUCCCAAGCUCCUUCUUCAUCAAACUCGACAUCUAUACCUAUGUUGAUCUUUUCCUUGCUUGGAUUAUACAACUUAUAGCCUUUAGAGCGAGAGUCAUAGCCAAUAAAAACAUACUUGUCACUUUUGUCAUCUAACUUGAACCGCCUUUGAUCUCAUACAUGACCAUAUGCAAUGCUCCCAAAUACUCGUAGGUGAGAGAUGCUAAGCUUUCUUUCACUCCAUGCUUCUUGAGGUAUCUUAUUCUACAUACUUCUAGAAGGCAAUUGAUUAGACAGAUACAUGGCUUAAUUAACAGCUACGGCCCAAAGUUCUUUGGGCAAUCUCUUACUUUUGAACAUGCAGCGAACCAUGAUAAGAAUUAAUCUAUUCUUUCUUUCGGCUACUCCAUUUUGUUGUGCAGAGUAUGGAACCAUUAAUGAGCGACGAAUUCCAUUCUCUUCACAAUAUUUCUCAAACUCUUUGGAGGUGAAUUCUCCUCUUCUAUCCAAUCUCAUGGCUUUUAUGCUAUAACCACUUUAUUUUUCAACAAGAGUUUUAAAACUUUUGAAAGUUCUAAAAACUUUCAAUUUUUUUUUUUGAGAAAAUGGACCCAAAACUUUCUACUAAAAUCAUCAAUAAAAAGAACAAAGUAAUUGUCUUACCAAGAGAGGUUGAAUUGAUUGAACUACAAACAUCCAAGUAUACAACUUCUAGCGGCUUCUUAACUCUUGUUGAUACUUAUUCUGGAAAACUUUUUUCCUCGAAUGCUUUCCAAGUAAGAAUCCUUCACAUAAUUGAUCCGCAUGAUAUAUUAAUGGCAAACUCUUCACCAUCUUCUUAUUACUCAACAAUUUUAAACCUCCAAAAUUAAGAUGCCCAAAUCUCAAGUGCCAAAGCCAAAAUGAAUCUUUAAAACAAGCUUUUAUGCAUUUAGCAACAUCAUUUUGAUUAAUGCUUAACGCAAACAUUCUAUUUUUUGUCAUAUGGACUUUGACAAUCGAAUUUUCUCUUUGAUCUCUUAUUAAAGACUAUGAUCUUUCAAAUGAAUACCAUAGUCUUUCUCUAAGAGUUGUCCCAAACUUAAUAUGUUAUUCAUAUUGGGCACACAAUAGACAUUUGAGAUAAAUUGAUACGUACCAUUCUUUAAGCGAAUCAAAAUUUACCUUUUCCUUUUACUGGGAUCUUGGAUCUAUCUCCAAAGGCAAUGCUGACGCUUACUGAUUCAUCAAGCUCUAUGAACAUGUUUUUUCUUUCACACAUAUGGUUGCUUACUCCUGUAUACAAAUAUCAAGUGUUUUUUUCUUUGCUUUUUUCACCUUUGUAAGCCAACAGUAGAGCGUGAUCCAUUCACUUUCCUAACUAGCAUAAUUGGCUUUCUCCUCAAACUUGGUUAGUAAUAUUUCUAUAUUCUGAAGCAUAAUGACCAAGUUUUUGAUAAUUGUAACAUUUAAUUUGAGAUUUGUUAUCCUUAGCCCUUCAUUUUGCCUCGUAUCUUUUCCUCUUUCACGACCUCUGGUGGAAAAUGAGCUUUGUUUUCUUUCCUCUUUUUAGAAUGCACUUCUUCCUCGAUCUUAGCCUCGUCCUCUUCCUUUUUGGCUUCUUCUAUUGUCAAACCUUCCUUCACCCUCGUUCAAAGUGAGCUUUGUUUGAAAAAGCUUGCUCUAAUGGCUCUUUUCACCUUCUUCUUUAGUCUUUCCUCGUGGACAUAAAAAGAUCCCACGAGUUGAUCGAUACUCAUACUAUCUAGAUCUUUAAAUUCCUCAAUGACUACAACUAUGUAGUCAAAUUUUGAAUCUGAAGACCUAAGCAUCUUCUCAAUUACUCGAGCGCCGUUCAACUUUUCUCCAUUCCUCUUUAAUUGAUUCACAAUGGCCAAUACUCUAGAGAAGUAAUAAGAAAUUAAUUCCGAUUCUUUCAUAUGUAAAGCUUCAAACUCACUUUGAAGUGUUUGGAGUCAAACCUUUUUCACCUUCUCAACUCCUUUGUGGAAGUUUUGCAAGAUUUCUCAUGCUUCCUUACUCACAAUAGCACAAGCUACUUUCUCGAACAUGCCUUCAUCUAAGGCUUGAUAUAUGAGGGUAAGCACCUUCUUGUCCUACUUCCUUACAUCCUUCAAACUAACCCUUUCUGCUUGGGAUAGAGCGACCUCGUCAUGUGGUGUCGUGUAGCCUUUACCUACAAUCUCUCAUGCAUCUUGUGACAUGAGCAACGCCUUCAUCCUUAUACUCCAAUGUCGUAAUUAUCCUUUUUGAGUUAGGGAACUUUAAUAAGAAUCAUCCCACUUGUCACUUUUCACAAGAACCUUAGGGCUUUGUUACCAGUUUGGAGGAAAGAGGAGUGUACUAAUUUGGAUUCGCUAAGACUUUUAAGGAGGACAAGACUAAUAGAAAGAAGGAAGUGAACAAAAGGAAACUUGUAUUUUUCAACUUUAAAACUUGCACACUUGACUUGUUACAAAAUGGAGGACCCUACCCUUUCAUAUAGUAUUUGCAUAAAACUUUUAGUCCACAAAAUUUUCUAGAAAUUCCUUGACCACAUAUUUACAUGAGAUUUUUAGACCACACAUUUAAACAAGAUAUGUUCUUAAAAUAGUUUAGAUAGACUUUAUAAAAACCACAUAAUCUUCUUGACACAAUAAAACAUUUAUCACCACAUAUUUUACUUAGAUAUUUAUAAAGAUUUUUUCUAGAUAAUAUUUCUAGAAAUGCUAGGCAUGUUGGGCUUUUUAAUUGAUUUGGGCCUAAGAGCAAAAUCCUUAAGCUCUAUUAUUUAGUCCAAAAAUCAAGUCUACGACUCAACAGAUACUGGCAGCUUCAAAGGGUUUUUGAUUUUUUAAAUUUUUUUGUAUUGCUAAAUCAUUGGCAAAAAAGAGGGGGGCAACCACCCUUUAGAAAUUCUCAUUUCUCUGUUUUGCCUCCUAACAAGUUGGGGCGUUUGAAGGAAACCCUAGUUGAUACUCUACAAAAUCCCCGAUUUAUGCUAAGGGCUGGAAAGCCCAAUGGAUUAAAGCAUGUUUUUCACACAAAUAACCUGAUACUACCUUCCAAGUUUGGUCAGAAGAUGAUGGCUUAUCCUUAUAGAAAGUACUGAAACACAAGAUUAAAUUGGUGCAAGGGGCUGAUGAACACCACCCUUUUUCCCUCUCCUUCAAAGGAAUCUGUUGCCAAUUUUUAGUGCAAUACCAAGGAAGAAAGACCUAAGCUGCUUGUCCACUUCUAUAGCUCUGUGCGCUUGUGGAGGACACCAAAAAUUUUGGCUUUAAUUGGGCUAUACAUGGCUUAUGAGCAAACAUCACAAAUUCAUAAGCCAUUCUUUCAGCCGGCAAAACACAAUUACAUACUGAAAAAUGAUUCAAUUAACUGCUGGGAAAAAAGGCCUGUUGAUAGGUUAAUUUUGUGAAAUCAUUGGCAAAAAGAGAGGACAACCACCCUUCAGAAAUAUCCCAUCUCUCUUUUGCCCCAUUCUUCAAUUCUUCAAUUAGGUUUUUGCAAAGAAAGCUUAGAGCAUGUUUGGUAAAAGCUUAUAAAGUUCACUUGCAAGCAAAAAUAAGCAAGUGUUAAACCUGUGUUAGGCUCAGAUCUAACAAUACAAGCAUAGAGAACGAGACACCACCUUGGCCGCAAAAGCCCAGUUGCAUAUGCAAGGAAAAGAGAACGCCGUCAAUCUCCCUCCUUGCAAAGCCAUCAAGUUUUGCCCUGCCAAGAUACAGGUCUCAUUUCCCCAUGCCCGACCCAACUCAAAAGAAAAUAAUCCUCAUAGCCAACAAACAGUAAUUAAAUUAAAGUCAAUGACCGCUAGUGAAAUUUACUCUUUCUCCAAUUAUGUACACACACAGAGUAACGCACAGAAAACAGGUAUACAUACUUGAUGCGUAAAAGGGCUGCUGAUUUUUUGUGAAUGGUGAAAUCAUUGGCAAAAAGAGAUGGUCAACCACACUUCAGAAUUUUCCAUCUGUGUUUCGCCUCUUUCUCAGUUGGGACUUUUGAAGGAAACCGUAGUUGCUGCUCAACAAAGACCCCAAUUUAUGCUGAGGGCAGGCAAGCCCAUCAGGUUUAAAGCAUGUUUUUACACAAAUAAACCUGAUACUACCUUCCAAGUUUGGUGGUGAUUAAGUUGUAUAGAAAUCACUGCAACACAAGAUUAAUUGGUGGCAAGAGGGUGAUGAACUCGUCUCCCUUCAUCCCUCUCCUUCACGGUAAAUUGUUGCCGAUUUUUAGUGCAAUACCCAGGAAGUAAACCUUUAGCCUCUCGUUCCCUUCUAUAGCUCUAUGCACAAGAAGAUUUGGCUUUUAAUUGGGCUAUACAUGGCUUAUGAGCGAAUACCACAACAUUACUUUUACUUUUAAGCCAUUCUUUCUGCCGGAAAACACAGUCACAUACUGAGAAAUGAUUCGGUUGACAACUGCUGUCAAAGGUUAAAUUUGUGAAAUCAUUGGCCAAAAGAGAGAGCAACCACCCUUUAGAAAUACCCCAUCUCUCUCUUGCAUCAAUCUUGAGUUAGAAUUUUGCAAGACUUGGAGAAUGUUUAGGAAAGCUUAUAAAGUUCACUUAUAAGUGUUAGGCUCAGAUCUGAAAAUACUAGCACACCAUGGCUGCAAAAGCCCAGUUGCAAAUGCAAGAGAAAAGGAGAACGCAAACAAUCUCCCUAAUGAGAUAGUAAAAGCCGUCCAAUGAAUAGAAUCUUCUGCCAUUUUUAUUUACCAAAAUCCAGAUUUAAAAUAAAAUUUAGAAAAUAUCUUGUUAUUUUAUAUUUUAUUUAUUAACAUAUCUUUAUCUGGUAUCUUAUAUUCAUCUUCUACAGUGUUAUCAUUUAAUCUUUUAUAGUUUAUAACAAUUUUUGCUUUUCUUCUUUUUAUUUCACUAUGAUUCCUAACCAUAAAGGCUGAUGAUCUGUGCUAACUACUAGACAGUUUUAUUACUUUUAAAUCUAAUAAUUCUUUAAUCUGUACGUUAAAAUCUUCUAUAUCUUGAUUCGUAUGUUUUAUUUCUACUGUUCUAGUUUUUAUAUUUUCAUUUAUUAUUUCUAAUUUAGUUUUUAUUUUAUUUUUAUCCCAAUGUUUUAUAGGGUCUUCUCCUAUUAUUUGAAUUUUUUUAGCUAAUUUUAAAAUUUUGUCUAUACUAUUUAUUUUAGAAGAUGUUUUGAAAUCUGUUUUUAAAGUUUGUAAAGAUAAAUUAUCUAAAAAUUCUAAAUUUUCUUCAAGUUCUGGGUCCGAUUCUGGUUGUAAGGUUCCACCACGCUUAGCUCACAACUCUGAUAAUUCUAUAGUAUUAAUAAUAGAAAUGUCUUUUCCAGAAAUUAUGACAUCAGUAGUAAUUGUUAAACUUCCAUUUCUACUUAACAAGAAUUUUAUACCUAUAACAAAUUUAUCUUUUAUCAAUACGCUAACUAAUAUAGUCGUUAAACUAUACUAUUUUUCUUAGAAUUUAAUCUUAUAAUCAUCAAAAAGUUUUUCUUUGAAUCCCAUUUUACUACCAUCCAUUGUACUUCCUCUUCUUUCAUAUUCUAAUUUCUGUUUGCAAUCUUCUGGCACUAAAUUUUUUCUUAUUAUAUUAAAUGUACAACCUAUGUCUAUUAAUGCUAUCAAAUUUAAAUUUAUCAUUUUGUUUAUCUAUAUUUCUAUAGGUAUUCUGAUACUUUUUGUCGUCUUUACUUUAGAUAUUUGACAAAUUAUUUCUUCUUAAUUUUCUAUUUCCAAAUAAUUAUUUUCUGUGUAAUUAUCUAUAGACUGUUUUCCUUUUGUUUCUAGAUUUCUGAUCAUAUAUUGUGUUUCUCCUAAUGUUUUGUGGAUUUUAUCUAUUCUAUUAUUUGUAUCUAUUAUUUUAUUUUCUAAUCUUUCUAUACUUUCACUAUAGUCUUUAUUUUUUUUAUUAUUUAUUUCUUGUUUAAUCCCGAAACAAUUAUUGCAUUGAAUUUCUAGACAAAUCUUACACUGAUUUUUAUUUUUAUGUCCCGGGUAUAUUUUACAUAUUUUACAUUUAUCCAUCAUUAAUCUUUGUCCUCUAAUCCAUUCAUGGAUACAUUCUUGCUCUACGUUCAUCAUCUUUAUAUCUAAAAAUGAAAAAUCUAAUUCUUCUAGGCUAUCAUAACUUUCUUCUAGGCUAUCAUAACUGUCUUCAGAAUUACUUAUUAUUUCUAAAUUAUCUAACUUUUUAUCUGUGUAAAUACUAUAUAUUGAGCUACAAGAUUCGUUAUCAGAUAAUUCUAUUAUAUUACAUUGUAUUUCUUUAAUUAUCAUAGAUUUAGCUGUACUUUCUUAUUUUUAUAUUUAUUUGGGCAUUUGUUAACAAAAUGUCUAGAGUCUCCACAAAUAUAACAUCUACAGUCUUUUCUUUUUUAGUUUUUGGUUUUCUAACAUAUCUAUUAAAAUUUGGUUUUUUAUUUUUAUAAUAUGUCUUACUCGAUCUAAUAUUAUUUUUCUUCUUAUUUUGAUAUUGCUUUUUAUAUUUUUGUUUUUUUAUCUUUUUUAUACAAUCUUUCUUUCUUCUUCUAUAAUCAUAUGUCUGUGGUAUAUAUAAAUCUAAACAAAAAGAAUAAUUUAAUUUCUUUAUUUGCUUUCUAGCUACUUCUUCUACACAAUAUUCUUUUAAUUUAUCAGUUAUAAAUUUUAUUGUGGCACUAAUAGUUAUUUUCCUUGUUGGGUUUGACUCUACAUCUUUUUUAAUUUUAUCAUUCCAUGGUGAUGGUAUCUUUCUAUAUAAUCUUUAAAGUAUAGGGUAAUCUAAUGAUAAUCUUGUUGCGCUUGCUAAUCUUUCAAAGUCUAAUAAAAAUGGUUGUAUGCAUUUCAUAUUACAAAUACUUAAUUUUCCUAAUCCUUUUAAAGCUUUAUUUUGUUUAUAAGUGUUAUCUCUACUGGGAUCAAAACCUAUAAUUAAUUCUCUAAUAAAGCUUGUAAAAUUUCUAGGAUUAUCUCCUCCAGCCAUUCUUAAUCUAAUUUCAUCUAGUUUUUUGUCUUUUUGCUGUAACGUAUAUAUCUAAAGCAAUCUUUUCUAAAUAAGUUUCUAAGUAAACCCACAUUUCUUCUACAAUCAUUUGUACAUGUACACUAUUAUAUGCUCUAAUUAUAGAAUUUUCCCAUUUAGUUAUAGAACUAGGUCUGUCUUGUGGUUUACAAUUAUUUAACUCUAGAUUAAUCCUCUAUCGAUUGCUAAUGGUAAACUACAUCCUUCUUCCAUUUGUCCUUUUUCUAAGCUUUUAUACUUUUUAUCAGUACAUUCGAAAUAUCUUGCAGGGGCAUGGGUUCUUUUCUUUUUCCAAAUUUUUGAUAUGUUUCCAUUUAGCUCUUGCUAGAUUUUUCCAUCUUAUUUUCAUGUGUACAUGAAACAUAUCUUUUUCCAUAAUGCUGAUUUAUUAAAGAUUUGCUAAAUAAAUUUCCUUUUUUAUAUAUGUCUAAAGCUUUUACUAAUUUUAGUUUAUUCUAUCUAAACAUUUCUAUUUGUUCUUCUAUAUCUAUCAGAGAUUCUAGUCUUGUUUCGAAUUCUAUUUUUCUACUUAAUGUUCUUAAUAGAGGAUUACCUACUAAUUUACUACUACUAACUACGAUGUGUUUUCCUUUGUCCAUUAUGUAUAGAUCCAAUAAAUUUUUUUUUAAAUCUACUAGGUUCUUUAGUUUUACUAAAUCCAAAUUUUCUAUUUUAUUUAUUAUAUUAUCUAAAUCUUGUCUAUUAUCUGUUGACUUUUUUUCUAAUGCUUUAACUAUGCUUUCCAAUUUUUCUAAGUUAAAGAACUAAAUUGUGUUUCUCCUAUAUUAUUAGAUUUUCUUU